UAAGUGACUAAGCGUACACGGUGGAUGCCUGGCAGUCAGAGGCGAUGAAGGACGUACUAACUUGCGAUAAGCGCAGAUAAGGCAGUAAGAGCCGUUUGAGUCUGCGAUUUCCGAAUGGGGAAACCCAACUGCAUAAGCAGUUACUGUUAACUGAAUACAUAGGUUAACAGAGCGAACCGGGGGAACUGAAACAUCUAAGUACCCCGAGGAGAAGAAAUCAACCGAGAUUCCGGUAGUAGCGGCGAGCGAACCUGGAUUAGCCCUUAAGCACUCGGUGAAGUAGGUGAACAAGCUGGAAAGCUUGGCGAUACAGGGUGAUAGCCCCGUAACGACGCUUCAUCGAGCGUGAAAUCGAGUAGGACGGGACACGUGAUAUCCUGUCUGAAUAUGGGGGGACCAUCCUCCAAGGCUAAAUACUCCUGACUGACCGAUAGUGAACCAGUACCGUGAGGGAAAGGCGAAAAGAACCCCUGUGAGGGGAGUGAAAUAGAACCUGAAACCGUGUACGUACAAGCAGUAGGAGCACCUUCGUGGUGUGACUGCGUACCUUUUGUAUAAUGGGUCAGCGACUUAUAUUCAGUGGCAAGGUUAACCGUAUAGGGGAGCCGUAGCGAAAGCGAGUCUUAACUGGGCGCUCAGUCUCUGGAUAUAGACCCGAAACCGGGUGAUCUAGCCAUGGGCAGGUUGAAGGUUGAGUAACAUCAACUGGAGGACCGAACCGACUAAUGUUGAAAAAUUAGCGGAUGACUUGUGGCUAGGGGUGAAAGGCCAAUCAAACUCGGAGAUAGCUGGUUCUCCCCGAAAGCUAUUUAGGUAGCGCCUCGGACGAAUACUACUGGGGGUAGAGCACUGUUAAGGCUAGGGGGUCAUCCCGACUUACCAACCCUUUGCAAACUCCGAAUACCAGUAAGUACUAUCCGGGAGACACACGGCGGGUGCUAACGUCCGUCGUGGAGAGGGAAACAACCCAGACCGCCAGCUAAGGUCCCAAAGUAUUGCUAAGUGGGAAACGAUGUGGGAAGGCUCAGACAGCUAGGAUGUUGGCUUAGAAGCAGCCAUCAUUUAAAGAAAGCGUAAUAGCUCACUAGUCGAGUCGGCCUGCGCGGAAGAUGUAACGGGGCUAAGCAAUACACCGAAGCUGCGGCAAUGUCUUUUAGACUUGGGUAGGGGAGCGUUCUGUAAGCCGUUGAAGGUGAAUCGUAGGUUUGCUGGAGGUAUCAGAAGUGCGAAUGCUGACAUGAGUAACGACAAAGGGGGUGAAAAACCUCCUCGCCGGAAGACCAAGGGUUCCUGUCCAACGUUAAUCGGGGCAGGGUGAGUCGACCCCUAAGGUGAGGCCGAAAGGCGUAAUCGAUGGGAAACGGGUUAAUAUUCCCGUACUUCUGACUAUUGCGAUGGGGGACGGAGAAGGCUAGGUGGGCCAGGCGACGGUUGUCCUGGUUCAAGUGCGUAGGCUUGAGAGUUAGGUAAAUCCGGCUCUCUCUAAGGCUGAGACACGACGUCGAGCUACUACGGUAGUGAAGUCAUUGAUGCCAUGCUUCCAGGAAAAGACCUCUAAGCUUCAGAUAGUCAGGAAUCGUACCCCAAACCGACACAGGUGGUCGGGUAGAGAAUACCAAGGCGCUUGAGAGAACUCGGGUGAAGGAACUAGGCAAAAUGGUACCGUAACUUCGGGAGAAGGUACGCUCUUGAUGGUGAAGUCCCUCGCGGAUGGAGCUGACGAGAGUCGCAGAUACCAGGUGGCUGCAACUGUUUAUUAAAAACACAGCACUGUGCAAAAUCGCAAGAUGACGUAUACGGUGUGACGCCUGCCCGGUGCCGGAAGGUUAAUUGAUGGGGUUAGCGCAAGCGAAGCUCUUGAUCGAAGCCCCGGUAAACGGCGGCCGUAACUAUAACGGUCCUAAGGUAGCGAAAUUCCUUGUCGGGUAAGUUCCGACCUGCACGAAUGGCGUAAUGAUGGCCACGCUGUCUCCACCCGAGACUCAGUGAAAUUGAAAUCGCUGUGAAGAUGCAGUGUACCCGCGGCUAGACGGAAAGACCCCGUGAACCUUUACUACAGCUUGGCACUGAACAUUGAACCUACAUGUGUAGGAUAGGUGGGAGGCUAUGAAGACGUGACGCCAGUUGCGUUGGAGCCGUCCUUGAAAUACCACCCUUGUAUGUUUGAUGUUCUAACUUAGACCCAUUAUCUGGGUUGAGGACAGUGCCUGGUGGGUAGUUUGACUGGGGCGGUCUCCUCCCAAAGAGUAACGGAGGAGCACGAAGGUGGGCUAAUCACGGUUGGACAUCGUGAGGUUAGUGCAAUGGCAUAAGCCCGCUUAACUGCGAGAAUGACGGUUCGAGCAGGUGCGAAAGCAGGUCAUAGUGAUCCGGUGGUUCUGUAUGGAAGGGCCAUCGCUCAACGGAUAAAAGGUACUCCGGGGAUAACAGGCUGAUACCGCCCAAGAGUUCAUAUCGACGGCGGUGUUUGGCACCUCGAUGUCGGCUCAUCACAUCCUGGGGCUGAAGUCGGUCCCAAGGGUAUGGCUGUUCGCCAUUUAAAGUGGUACGCGAGCUGGGUUUAGAACGUCGUGAGACAGUUCGGUCCCUAUCUGCCGUGGGCGUUGGAAGAUUGAAGGGGGCUGCUCCUAGUACGAGAGGACCGGAGUGGACGAACCUCUGGUGUUCGGGUUGUGUCGCCAGACGCAUUGCCCGGUAGCUAAGUUCGGAAUUGAUAAGCGCUGAAAGCAUCUAAGCGCGAAGCGAGCCCUGAGAUGAGUCUUCCCUGACAGUUUAACUGUCCUAAAGGGUUGUUCGAGACUAGAACGUUGAUAGGCAGGGUGUGUAAGCGUUGUGAGGCGUUGAGCUAACCUGUACUAAUUGCCCGUGAGGCUUAACCA
RNAcentral lists this ribosomal RNA (2879 nucleotides) under Vibrio cholerae CP1048(21). Its description in RNAcentral is "bacterial LSU rRNA". It matches the Rfam family "Bacterial large subunit ribosomal RNA". Lineage: Bacteria; Pseudomonadati; Pseudomonadota; Gammaproteobacteria; Vibrionales; Vibrionaceae. The record is from RNAcentral.